RNAcentral lists this ribosomal RNA (471 nucleotides) under uncultured bacterium. Its description in RNAcentral is "bacterial SSU rRNA". It matches the Rfam family "Bacterial small subunit ribosomal RNA", at positions 28 to 507 of the family's 1533-position model. The record is from RNAcentral.
GAUGAACGCUAGCGGCAGGCAUAAUACAUGCAAGUCGAACGGGUGUAGCAAUACAUUAGUGGCGCACGGGUGCGUAACGCGUAACCAACCUACCCUUGACUGGGGGAUAGCCCGCCGAAAGGCGGAUUAAUACCGCAUAUACCGGCAGCCUGGCAUCAGGGAACUGGGAAAGAUUUAUUGGUCAAGGAUGGGGUUGCGUAGCAUUAGCUAGAUGGCGGGGUAACGGCUCACCAUGGCGACGAUGCUUAGGGGACCUGAGAGGGUGAUCCCCCACACUGGCACUGAGAUACGGGCCAGACUCCUACGGGAGGCAGCAGUAGGGAAUAUUGGGCAAUGGCCGAGAGGCUGACCCAGCCAUGCCGCGUGCCGGAUGAAGGCCUUCUGGGUUGUAAACGGCUUUUCUCAGGGAAGAAAAAGAGGAUGCGUCCUAAACUGACGGUACCUGAGGAAUAAGCACCGGCUAACUCCGUG